This 23-nucleotide microRNA is filed under the name Oreochromis niloticus (Nile tilapia). Its description in RNAcentral is "oni-miR-10662". The record is from miRBase by way of RNAcentral. Lineage: Eukaryota; Metazoa; Chordata; Actinopteri; Cichliformes; Cichlidae.
AAGUAGAAUAAAUCAUUUUCUGU